GUCGAACGGGGCUAAGCGAAACACGGAGUGUUUAGCGAAGGACAGAGGGGGAGACGAUUUUACUGGAAAUGCGAAGCAUUUGAAGUAAAGAGAGACAAAACCCAAAGUAAAAGAGCAAAGCGAAACACCGCGUGUUUUGCUUAGCCUAGUGGCGGACGGGUGAGUAACGCGUGGGUAACCAACCGUAUAGAGGGGGAUAACGAAUAGAAAUAUUCGCUAAUACCGCAUAGUCUUGAUUGUUCGCAUGGACGAUUAAGUAAAGAUUUAUCGCUAUACGACGGACCCGCGUCUGAUUAGCUAGUUGGAGAGGUAACGGCUCACCAAGGCGACGAUCAGUAGCCGACCUGAGAGGGUGAUCGGCCACAUUGGGACUGAGACACGGCCCAAACUCCUACGGGAGGCAGCAGUGGGGAAUAUUGCACAAUGGGGGAAACCCUGAUGCAGCAACGCCGCGUGAAGGAAGAAGUAUUUCGGUACGUAAACUUCAGACGCUGAUGAAGAAAAAAAUGACGGUAAUCAGGCCGGAGCCCCGGCUAACUACGUGCCAGCAGCCGCGGUAAUACGUAGGGGGCAAGCGUUAUCCGGAAUUACUGGGCGUAAAGGGUGCGUAGGCGGCCAAGUAAGUCAUAUGUGAAAGCCCAAGGCUCAACCAUGGGACUGCAUAAGAAACUACUUGGCUAGAGUACUGGAGAGGUAAGCGGAAUUCCUAGUGUAGCGGUGAAAUGCGUAGAUAUUAGGAAGAACACCAGUGGCGAAGGCGGCUUACUGGACAGAGACUGACGCUGAGGCACGAAAGCGUGGGGAGCGAACAGGAUUAGAUACCCUGGUAGUCCACGCUGUAAACGAUGAGAACUAGGUGUUGGGGCGAGAGCCUCGGUGCCGCAGUUAACACAAUAAGUUCUCCGCCUGGGGAGUACGUUCGCAAGAAUGAAACUCAAAGGAAUUGACGGGGGCCCGCACAAGUGGUGGAGCAUGUGGUUUAAUUCGAAGCAACGCGAAGAACCUUACCAAGAAUUGACAUCCUCCUUUAAUGAUGUGAAAGCAUCAAAGCCUUCGGGCGAGGAGAGACAGGUGGUGCAUGGUUGUCGUCAGCUCGUGUCGUGAGAUGUUGGGUUAAGUCCCGCAACGAGCGCAACCCUUAUUGUUAGUAACCAGCGAGUAAUGUCGGGGACACUAGCGAGACUGCCGUGGAUAACACGGAGGAAGGUGGGGACGACGUCAAAUCAUCAUGCCCCUUAUAACUUGGGCAACACACGUGCUACAAUGGGAUGUACAAAGUGAAACAAGCUGGUGACAGUAAGCAAACCACAAAAAGCAUUCCUCAGUUCGGAUUGUAGUCUGCAACUCGACUACAUGAAGCCGGAAUCACUAGUAAUCGCGAAUCAGCAUGUCGCGGUGAAUACGUUCUCGGGCCUUGUACACACCGCCCGUCACACCAUGGGAAUUAGAAGCGCCCGAAGUAUGUGACCGAACCCGUAAGGGACGGAGCAUCCUAAGGCGAAGCUAGUGACUGGGG
Molecule: ribosomal RNA, 1516 nt
Filed under: uncultured Lachnospiraceae bacterium
Lineage: Bacteria; Bacillati; Bacillota; Clostridia; Lachnospirales; Lachnospiraceae
Description: bacterial SSU rRNA
Rfam family: Bacterial small subunit ribosomal RNA
Source: RNAcentral